AAAAGUCUAGCCUGCUCACUGAUAAAAUUUUUAAGAGCCGCGGUAUUUCUGACUGUGCAAAGGUAGCAUAAUCGUUAGUUUUUUAAUUGAAAUCUUGUAUGAAUGGUUUGACAAAAAAAAGACUGUCUUUAUAAUUAUUAAUUGAAUUUAACUUUUAAGUGAAAAGGCUUAAAUAAAUUAAAAAGACGAUAAGACCCUAUAAAGCUUAAUAAAAAUUUUUUAUUUAAUAGAAUUUUUUAUAAGCAUAAAUGUUUGGUAAAUAAUUUUAUUUUAUUGGGGUGAUAAUGGUAAAAUGGUUAUUAACUGUUAAUUAAAUUAAGACAAAAAUAAGUGAAUUAUAAAUUUUAUUUAAUAAAUGAUCCUAUUUAAAGAUUAAGAGUUUAAGUUACUUUAGGGAUAACAGCGUUAUUUUUUUUGAGAGUUCUUAUCGAGAAAAAAGUUUGCGACCUCGAUGUUGAAUUAAAAUAUCUGUAUAAUUGCAGCAGUUAUAUAAGAAGGUCUGUUCGACCUUUAAAUUUUU
This 520-nucleotide ribosomal RNA is filed under the name Parasesarma tripectinis. RNAcentral describes it as "partial 16S ribosomal RNA". The stretch from base 396 to 520 matches the Rfam family "Bacterial large subunit ribosomal RNA", at positions 2473 to 2597 of the family's 2925-position model. Lineage: Eukaryota; Metazoa; Arthropoda; Malacostraca; Decapoda; Sesarmidae. The record is from RNAcentral.